ACAUAUAUCUGUUUCUAUUUUUAGGUUAAUUUUUUUAAUUAGUAUAUCUAAGAAUGGAAGCUCCUUUUGGUUGUACUCCAUUGUGAACUGUAUGUUUGGGCUGACGCUGUUUAAUAGGUUUUUGAAUUCUAGGAAUUCUGUGUUUUCAUUCCAGAGUAUAAAACAGUCGUCUAGGAAUCUUUUUCAAUUCUCUUUUAUGUAUUGGGAAAGCGGGUUUCCAAAGGUCGAUAAAGAGUCCUGGUAUAUUAUUACAUCCAGGUAGCCCAUUGUUAGUUUCGCAAUGACUGGUGCUGCCCUUGUACCCAUAGCAAUUCCGGAUUUUUGACGUCAGAAGAGCGUCGUUU
Octopus sinensis (East Asian common octopus) is the source of this 344-nucleotide long non-coding RNA. RefSeq lists it as uncharacterized. The transcript has 3 exons. The record is from RefSeq and is a predicted model, not a curated record. NCBI's taxonomy places the organism in Eukaryota, Metazoa, Mollusca, Cephalopoda, Octopoda, Octopodidae.